AAAGAUCGAUACCGAGGGGGGGCUAGAAGCCCCGGAGAUACCCCUGCUUCGUCAGGCAGUCUGUACCGCGUACAGCCUGAAACUCCCUAAACCUCAACACCCAGCCACUCCGGCGUGAAGGUAUCGUUCU
Escherichia coli P0304799.3 is the source of this 130-nucleotide non-coding RNA. The record is from Rfam. Lineage: Bacteria; Pseudomonadati; Pseudomonadota; Gammaproteobacteria; Enterobacterales; Enterobacteriaceae.